CAAUAAUGUGUUUACAAAUGAUUGGGACUCACACAGGGAAGAGAAACCACUGCUUAUGCCAUAUGUGUUUCACUGUGCUCAGAGCGAGCUGCUGAAAACCAGACUUUGUUCCUGAGAAAUCACUGGGAAAGAAGUUCUACUCAUCAUAGAGGGGAAAAUUUGGAAGUACGGAAAAUUCUCCAUACUCUGUUCUGGGACAUGACUGAUCUUUAAAACACAAUUCCUCUUAAAGUUCCUAGUAAUUUCUGUUGUAGCACCAUACCAAAUGCUUUACUGAAAUACAAACUGUCUUACAUUUCUAAGAAAUUUCUGUUAAUAUCAAAGGAAGAUGUGGAUGUUCUUGCACAAAGUAUCUCUGAUGAAGCCCUGUCCACUUUUUACCUGUUCAUUUCUCACCUGCAUGUAGCCUCCUGCUCUCAAUUCUUCUUUCCUUUAAAGUAUUCCUGAGAUCAGGCAAAUGCCCUUUUUUGCCUGGAUCACACUUCCCUCUGUUAUCUCUGGGUGCCACGUUCAAAAUUUGCCAGUAAUACAGUGCUUGACAGCUUUACUAACAGAUUGUUACCAGGCUUACUGUUUAACAGGCCAAUUUAAAAAAUAAAGUAAAAAUGGGGUGUGAGUUACCUUGUGAUUUGA
Long non-coding RNA from Neopsephotus bourkii (Bourke's parrot), 633 nucleotides. RefSeq lists it as uncharacterized. NCBI's taxonomy places the organism in Eukaryota, Metazoa, Chordata, Aves, Psittaciformes, Psittacidae. The record is from RefSeq and is a predicted model, not a curated record. The transcript is spliced from 2 exons.